RNAcentral lists this ribosomal RNA (683 nucleotides) under uncultured Lachnospiraceae bacterium. RNAcentral's name for it is "bacterial SSU rRNA". It matches the Rfam family "Bacterial small subunit ribosomal RNA", at positions 50 to 747 of the family's 1533-position model. The record is from RNAcentral. Lineage: Bacteria; Bacillati; Bacillota; Clostridia; Lachnospirales; Lachnospiraceae.
AACACAUGCAAGUCGAACGAGCAAGAGAGAGCUUGCUUCUCGAGCGAGUGGCGAACGGGUGAGUAACGCGUGAGGAACCUGCCUCAAAGAGGGGGACAACAGUUGGAAACGACUGCUAAUACCGCAUAAGCCCACGGGUCGGCAUCGACCAGAGGGAAAAGGAGCAAUCCGCUUUGAGAUGGCCUCGCGUCCGAUUAGCUAGUUGGUGAGGUAACGGCCCACCAAGGCGACGAUCGGUAGCCGGACUGAGAGGUUGAACGGCCACAUUGGGACUGAGACACGGCCCAGACUCCUACGGGAGGCAGCAGUGGGGAAUAUUGCACAAUGGGGGAAACCCUGAUGCAGCGACGCCGCGUGGAGGAAGAAGGUCUUCGGAUUGUAAACUCCUGUCGUUGGGGAAGAUAAUGACGGUACCCAACAAGGAAGUGACGGCUAACUACGUGCCAGCAGCCGCGGUAAAACGUAGGUCACAAGCGUUGUCCGGAAUUACUGGGUGUAAAGGGAGCGCAGGCGGGAAGACAAGUUGGAAGUGAAAUCUAUGGGCUCAACCCAUAAACUGCUUUCAAAACUGUUUUUCUUGAGUAGUGCAGAGGUAGGCGGAAUUCCCGGUGUAGCGGUGGAAUGCGUAGAUAUCGGGAGGAACACCAGUGGCGAAGGCGGCCUACUGGGCACCAACUGACGCU